GAGAGUUAAACAGUACGUGAAAUUGUUGAAAGGGAAACGAUUGAAGUCAGUCGUGCUGGCGCGAAAUCAACCCUCUCAUCGGGAGACCCAUGUUGUAGCGAGCCUCAAAACCGCUACAGCAUGUGUCUCACGAUGAGGGGGAGCACUUUCGUGUCCGCUGGUUAACAUCAAUUUCGAACGUCAUAAAAAGGCUGGAGGGAUGUGGCUCCUUCGGGAGUGUUAUAACCUUUAGCGGAAUGUGGUGGUCGGGAUUGAGGAUUGCAACGAAUACCUUUAGGGCUGUUCCACCUGGCUUCUCUUUGGUAUCCUGGUGACGACAGCUUGCUGACGUUGUUAGGAUUCGCCUUUGAACAGGCUAGAGUGUGAGCAAAUUCGUUAAGGAUGUUAACGUAAUGGCUUUAAACGA
This 406-nucleotide ribosomal RNA is filed under the name uncultured Entrophospora. RNAcentral's name for it is "uncultured Claroideoglomus partial 28S ribosomal RNA". Lineage: Eukaryota; Fungi; Glomeromycota; Glomeromycetes; Entrophosporales; Entrophosporaceae. The record is from RNAcentral.